GUGUAAUCUAUGUUAUUAUUGUUAUUAUUAUUGUAUAUAAUAUUCAGUAUAUAUCGUUAUUAAAUCUAGUUUUAAGAAAAAGUCAGUCAGAACGAAACAUAUUUAUAGUUUAAGUUUUACCCAAAGAUUAGGGAGAGAAAGAUAGGAAACGAAGCGACCAAGACGACGCCAGCGACGUCUGGUGUUUCAGUUGUAAACAAAAUUGGUUGUUUUUGACGUUUUUGUCAAAAAAGGUUAGAAUCACAUUUCUGAAGUCUAAACAUCUUUUGGGUUAAAAAUCUUUGUUUGUAAACGUGCUGUGUAUCUCUAGUCUUUGGGUGCUGUCUUGUGGCAUAUUACAAAGACGUUAUAGUAUUGUUGUGGUUAUUAAGCUCACGUGUUAUUGAACUGUUCAUCAAAGAUUAAUAUUAAUUUGCUGUUCUUGUCAAGAUGAGUCGUGGUUCAUAUUGUUUGGUAUUAACCUGUCCGAACAAUAAAAAUAAAAACCCAAAGCUCGCGUUUUUUACAUUACCGAAGGACAUGAAAAUGUAAGUUUAAGUAGUCAAUUCAAUAUUACAAAAUCAUCUAAUUUCUAUUAUUAUUCAGUGCCAAAAGAUGGAUCGAAUUCUCUGGACGCAAAGAUCUUGGCCUGGGUGCUUCGAAAGACUAUAGAAUGUGUAGUGAGCAUUUUAUAGAAAACCAGUUCAAAUUCACGGACAUUGCUUUGGCGUGGAAGUAUUCCUCAUGUGAAUGGACCUAAAUCAGAUGUUCUUCCUGAAUCAGAGUCUGAGAUGAUCAUCCAUGAAGAAACUGUUCAAAUGGAUCAAAACGUACCUCUAUCUAAUAUUGAAAGAUUCUGCGUUUGCUGUCAACUCAAAUGAAAAUUUUUCAAAAGAGGACACAUGAAUGCAAAUCAUAUUUAUGUUACACUGGAAUCAGAAGGUUUUAUAGAAGCAGCUAGUAGUUCGGCUAACCCCAAACGUAGUGGUAGUAAGCAGAGCCCCUUAACCAACCAGAGAAUUAAAAGAGUGAAGGCUAAAAUCAAUACAAAAAAUCAAAAACUCCGAAAUCUCUGCAAUGAAUAAUGAUUCACAUUUAAGAUAUUUU
This is a long non-coding RNA of Harmonia axyridis, 1086 nucleotides long. RefSeq lists it as uncharacterized. The record is from RefSeq and is a predicted model, not a curated record. Lineage: Eukaryota; Metazoa; Arthropoda; Insecta; Coleoptera; Coccinellidae. The transcript is spliced from 3 exons.